This 903-nucleotide long non-coding RNA is filed under the name Triticum aestivum (bread wheat). RNAcentral's name for it is "long non-coding RNA (TAES_LNC008757)". The record is from RNAcentral. Lineage: Eukaryota; Viridiplantae; Streptophyta; Magnoliopsida; Poales; Poaceae.
UUUGGUUUAUAGUACCUUUUAGACAAGUGUGUACUUUUCUUAUGAACUACUGCAAUUUUUCAUAUUUUCUCGUGCAAUUUGGUUUAUAAUAGUUUGUUUAGAAUGGUGUGUUUUUUUUUGUUGAACCACUGCAUAUUUUUAUAUUUUCUUCUGCAAGAGUUGAAUUAGAAAAAACAGAAAUAAGUGCAUCUAUUCGGGUUAUCACACAUCUCAUGGGAAAUAGGUCAUCUCAACAAUAUACCCAUCCCUUAUCCUUCAAACCAAACACCAAUUUGGCUAUCUUCAACUACUUGAAAUCCCUCCCAACCAAACAGAAAAAGAGGCUAUCCCUAGCUGAGUGGCUGGGGAUACCCACAACCACUCAAACAUAUCCAUCAAACCAAACACACCCAUAUCAUAGAAAGGCGUCCCACCUUCUCGACGGUUCGCCCCAAUGAAUGGAGCUAGUGGGACGAAUUUAAGGAGAAAGAUAUACCUGCACACUUUUAUCUGGUACUUAUUCCACUUGCCCUAAAAGGUUUUAGAGCACUAUAAUUUGUAUACGAGUAAGAAUAUCAGGAUAUUUUAUACAAACUUGGAUCAUAUAGACACUUCAAACAACCAAAAACACAGCAUAGAACAUAGGACAUCAUAUAGACACUUCAAACAACCAAAAACACAGCAUAGAACAUAGGACAUCAUAUAGACACUUCAAACAACCAAAAACACAGCAUAGAACAUAGGACAGUCAUGUUAUGGAGCCAAAAGGGCUUGCCUAAAAUUAUCCUACCUGAUACUGUACAUACAAGAAAGAAGAAUAAAGGAGUCAUGUUGAUUCCCGGCAAAAAUUUCUACACACAACAGUUCAUCAACCUACAGGCCCCACUGCACAUUUUCACUCCCUAGGAACCAAACUCAACUCAC